RNAcentral lists this ribosomal RNA (400 nucleotides) under uncultured bacterium. RNAcentral's name for it is "bacterial SSU rRNA". It matches the Rfam family "Bacterial small subunit ribosomal RNA", at positions 359 to 776 of the family's 1533-position model. The record is from RNAcentral.
GAAUAUUGGACAAUGGAGGAAACUCUGAUCCAGCCAUGCCGCGUGUAUGAAGAAGGCCUUAGGGUUGUAAAGUGCUUUCAAACGUGAAGAUAAUGACGGUAGCGUUAGAAGAAGCUCCGGCUAAAUUCGUGCCAGCAGCCGCGGUAAUACGAAUGGAGCAAGCGUUGUUCGGAAUCACUGGGCUUAAAGCGUGCGCAGGCGGACAAGGAAGUCAGAAGUGAAAUCCCAGGGCUCAACCCUGGAGCUGCUUUUGAAACUCCUUGUCUAGAAUCCGGGAGAGGUCAGUAGAAUUCCCAGUGUAGAGGUGAAAUUCGCAGAUAUUGGGAGGAAUACCAGUGGCGUAGGCGACUGACUGGACCGGUAUUGACGCUCAGGCACGAAAGCAUGGGGAGCGAACAGG